GCCUGGGUGGCUCAGUCGGUUGAGCGUCCGACUUCAGCUCGGGUCAUGAUCUCAUGGUCCGUGAGUUCGAGCCCCGCGUCAGGCU
Molecule: transfer RNA, 85 nt
Filed under: Felis catus (domestic cat)
Lineage: Eukaryota; Metazoa; Chordata; Mammalia; Carnivora; Felidae
Rfam family: tRNA
About the family: Transfer RNA (tRNA) molecules are approximately 80 nucleotides in length. Their secondary structure includes four short double-helical elements and three loops (D, anti-codon, and T loops).
Source: Rfam by way of RNAcentral